UUUAUGGAGAGUUUGAUCCUGGCUCAGGAUGAACGCUGGCGGCGUGCCUAAUACAUGCAAGUCGAGCGAACAGAUAAGGAGCUUGCUCCUUUGACGUUAGCGGCGGACGGGUGAGUAACACGUGGGUAACCUACCUAUAAGACUGGGAUAACUUCGGGAAACCGGAGCUA
Molecule: ribosomal RNA, 170 nt
Filed under: Staphylococcus haemolyticus
Lineage: Bacteria; Bacillati; Bacillota; Bacilli; Caryophanales; Staphylococcaceae
Description: partial 16S ribosomal RNA
Rfam family: Bacterial small subunit ribosomal RNA
Source: RNAcentral